RNAcentral lists this ribosomal RNA (822 nucleotides) under uncultured bacterium. RNAcentral describes it as "bacterial SSU rRNA". It matches the Rfam family "Bacterial small subunit ribosomal RNA", at positions 34 to 873 of the family's 1533-position model. The record is from RNAcentral.
CGUGGGCCCCGUGGAGGGGCAUGCAAGUUUCACGGGCCGCAAGGCCAGUGGCGCAAGGGUGAGUAAGGCGACGGUAACCAACCCCAUGAUUGGGUAUAGCCGUGGGAAACCGCGGGUAAUCCCCGGCGACGUCCGGGAGGGGCAUCCCUCCUGGACCAAAGCCCCGGCGUCCCGGGACGGGCUGUCGUGGUAUUAGCUAGUUGGCGGGGUAACGGCCCACCAAGGCGGUGAUGCCUACCGGGCGUGCGAGCGUGGCCCGGCACACUGGGACUAGACACUGCCCAGACUCCUACGGGAGGCUGCAGUCGAGAAUCUUCGGCAAUGGGCGCAAGCCUGACCGAGCGACGCCGCGUGGAGGACGAAGGCCUUCGGGUUGUAAACUCCUGUCGAGGGGGAAGAAGGGCCGUUAAAAGCCUUGACUGAUCCCUGGAGGAAGCACGGGCUAAGCUCGUGCCAGCAGCCGCGGUAAGACGAACCGUGCGAACGUUAUUCGGAAUCACUGGGCUUAAAGCGCGUGUAGGCGCGCCGGCACGUCGGACGUUGAAAUCCCCCGGCUCAACCGGGGAAGUGGCGCCGAUACGACCGGCCUGGAGGAACGUAGGGGGAGCUGGAACUUCCGGUGGAGCGGUGAAAUGCGUUGAGAUCGGAAGGAACGCCCGUGCGAAAGCGAGCUCCUGGACGUUUUCUGACGCUGAGACGCGAAAGCCAGGGAGCGAACGGGAUUAGAUACCCCGGUAGUCCUGGCCGUAACGAUGGGCACUGGUAGGGGCUCGCCGAUGGCUCGCUNCGUAGGAAACCGUGANUGCCCGCUGNNAGUAUGUC